GAUUAACGCUAGCGGCAGGCAUAAUACAUGCAAGUUGAACGGGAUUCAGGCAGCAAUGUUUGAUGAGAGUAGCGCACGGGUGCGUAACACGUAUGCAACCUGCCCCUGACUGGAGGAUAGCCUCUCGAAAGAGAGAUUAAUAUUCCAUAACAUAUAGAAUAAGCAUUUAUUUAUAUCAAAGCUCCGGCGGUCAGGGAUGGGCANGCGGCUGAUUAGGUAGUUGGUGAGGUAACGGCUCACCAAGCCGACGAUCAGUAGGGGGUCUGAGAGGAUCGU
RNAcentral lists this ribosomal RNA (276 nucleotides) under uncultured bacterium. RNAcentral's name for it is "partial 16S ribosomal RNA". It matches the Rfam family "Bacterial small subunit ribosomal RNA", at positions 28 to 304 of the family's 1533-position model. The record is from RNAcentral.